RNAcentral lists this long non-coding RNA (820 nucleotides) under Harpegnathos saltator (Jerdon's jumping ant). Its description in RNAcentral is "uncharacterized LOC112589958, transcript variant X2". The record is from RNAcentral. Lineage: Eukaryota; Metazoa; Arthropoda; Insecta; Hymenoptera; Formicidae.
AUAGGCGGCAAUUCCGGUGCUCUUCUCACGCUCGGCGGUAUGGCCCUUCUCGGCGCCCUGGGAGGCGACGAAGUCGGGUCGCGUCUGGCGACUCUCUCACUACCGAAUCUACAUCCGGAUUCAAUUUUUCUGGUUUACCCAGUCGAACCGUGGAGCCGAAUCCUCCGAGAAAAAGACAUUGACAUAUUAUUACACAAUUAUCGGCAAUCAUACCUCCCAGAUUGAGAUACUUUUCAUUCUCCGAGCAAAGUUCCAACAAGAACGGCGGCACCUUCUGCUUCGCCUCCAUCAACAGAUGCUUGAGGUCAAGCAACACAGACUCGUCGUUCGCCUUAUUGAUAAAAGUCGUCGCGAUGCCGGUACGCCCGGAGCGACCGGUACGUCCUAUCCUGUGAACUGCAUCGAAAGAGGACUCAUUCCUUUGGUACGACACACUGAGAAUACACGUAUAAUCAAAAUAAAAGAAAAUGAUGGUAAAUUACCGUAAUUCUCCACGUCAUCCGGCAUAUCGUAAUUAAUCACGUGUUGCACAUCAGCAAAAUCAAGACCUUUGGACGCAACGUCCGUCGCAACCAGCACGUCCUUCCGACCUCCGCGAAAUGCCUCGACGGAGCGUGAUCUCUCUUCCUGAUCUGUAGCACAGAAGUAACAGCCCUCGAAUAUCCCACGAUACUCGUGAAUAGCAUCCACAUCGCGCUUCUUCUCCGCGAAUAUCAACACCGGUGGCGCGGUCUUUUGGAGACACUCCAGGAGAUAAACAAUUUUAGCCUCCUGCUUGACGUACUCGACUUCCUGUAUCACGUUCAUCGAAGCGGCGCCG